This 205-nucleotide unclassified non-coding RNA is filed under the name Hevea brasiliensis (rubber tree). Lineage: Eukaryota; Viridiplantae; Streptophyta; Magnoliopsida; Malpighiales; Euphorbiaceae. The record is from RNAcentral.
GAAAUGCUUGGCUACUUCCUCUGCGAUCUCUCAUGCAUGCAAUGUGAGUGCUUUAAACUUCUUAUAGUUGAGUAACACUCUGCUUACACCCUACAAGAAUUGGUGAGUGUAGUUAUUGUUGCAAUGGUGCAACCUUUUCCCUGAUGAAUUUCCUAUGCAUUAUUGCUAUCUUUCCUAUGCAGUUGUUGGAUGAUAAUAUGUUUGU